UCAUAGCGACUAUCGUGGCAUAUCAAUAAGCGGAGGAAAAGAAACUAACAAGGAUUCCCUAGUAACGGCGAGUGAAGCGGGAAGAGCUCAAAUUUGAAGUCUUAAAGGUUUUCCCUUGACGAAUUGUAGUUUGAAGAAGUGUUUUCUGUUGGAGUUUCGGUAAAAGUUCUUUGGAAUAGGACAUCAUAGAGGGUGAGAAUCCCGUAUUUGACCGUUACUUUCCAGCUGUGUGAUACACUUUCAAAGAGUCGGAUUGUUUGGGAAUGCAGUCCAAAAUGGGUGGUAAAUUUCAUCUAAAGCUAAAUAUUGGCGAGAGACCGAUAGCGAACAAGUACCGUGAGGGAAAGAUGAAAAGAACCUUGAAAAGAGAGUUAAACAGUACGUGAAAUUGUCAAAAGGGAAGCGUUUGACACCAGUGUUGUUUAGUUGAAAAUCAAUUCAAUAAUUUUUGAUUUUGAGUAGUAUUGACUUCAUCAGCUUGCUGCUUUCUUUUCGGAAAUUAUUGAAUGCACUUUUCAGUUAACAAGUCAACAUCAAUUUCUUUUGUUGUAAAAGGGUAAGAGGAAGGUGGCUUACGCUUCGGCGUAAGUGUUUAUAGCCUUUUACCUCUGCAAUCGGAGAGAUUGAGGACAGCAGCGUAGACUCUUCGGGGUUAGAUACAUUUGUGCUAAGUUAUAGUUUUUCAUAGACAACAUGUUGACUAUGAUUAAUCAUGUAGCUUACUCGCUUGUGCUAUUUUACCUACGCUUAGGAUGUUGAUAUGCAUGACUGAUAU
This 775-nucleotide ribosomal RNA is filed under the name uncultured Neocallimastigales. RNAcentral describes it as "partial large subunit ribosomal RNA". It matches the Rfam family "Eukaryotic large subunit ribosomal RNA", at positions 22 to 635 of the family's 3401-position model. The record is from RNAcentral. Lineage: Eukaryota; Fungi; Neocallimastigomycota; Neocallimastigomycetes; Neocallimastigales.